This 30-nucleotide non-coding RNA is filed under the name Mus musculus (house mouse). The record is from RNAcentral. Lineage: Eukaryota; Metazoa; Chordata; Mammalia; Rodentia; Muridae.
UUUAGAUAUACAUUGUCUACUGGUCCCAGG